This 2902-nucleotide ribosomal RNA is filed under the name Escherichia coli. RNAcentral's name for it is "bacterial LSU rRNA". It matches the Rfam family "Bacterial large subunit ribosomal RNA". The record is from RNAcentral. Lineage: Bacteria; Pseudomonadati; Pseudomonadota; Gammaproteobacteria; Enterobacterales; Enterobacteriaceae.
UUAAGCGACUAAGCGUACACGGUGGAUGCCCUGGCAGUCAGAGGCGAUGAAGGACGUGCUAAUCUGCGAUAAGCGUCGGUAAGGUGAUAUGAACCGUUAUAACCGGCGAUUUCCGAAUGGGGAAACCCAGUGUGAUUCGUCACACUAUCAUUAACUGAAUCCAUAGGUUAAUGAGGCGAACCGGGGGAACUGAAACAUCUAAGUACCCCGAGGAAAAGAAAUCAACCGAGAUUCCCCCAGUAGCGGCGAGCGAACGGGGAGCAGCCCAGAGCCUGAAUCAGUGUGUGUGUUAGUGGAAGCGUCUGGAAAGGCGCGCGAUACAGGGUGACAGCCCCGUACACAAAAAUGCACAUGCUGUGAGCUCGAUGAGUAGGGCGGGACACGUGGUAUCCUGUCUGAAUAUGGGGGGACCAUCCUCCAAGGCUAAAUACUCCUGACUGACCGAUAGUGAACCAGUACCGUGAGGGAAAGGCGAAAAGAACCCCGGCGAGGGGAGUGAAAAAGAACCUGAAACCGUGUACGUACAAGCAGUGGGAGCACGCUUAGGCGUGUGACUGCGUACCUUUUGUAUAAUGGGUCAGCGACUUAUAUUCUGUAGCAAGGUUAACCGAAUAGGGGAGCCGAAGGGAAACCGAGUCUUAACUGGGCGUUAAGUUGCAGGGUAUAGACCCGAAACCCGGUGAUCUAGCCAUGGGCAGGUUGAAGGUUGGGUAACACUAACUGGAGGACCGAACCGACUAAUGUUGAAAAAUUAGCGGAUGACUUGUGGCUGGGGGUGAAAGGCCAAUCAAACCGGGAGAUAGCUGGUUCUCCCCGAAAGCUAUUUAGGUAGCGCCUCGUGAAUUCAUCUCCGGGGGUAGAGCACUGUUUCGGCAAGGGGGUCAUCCCGACUUACCAACCCGAUGCAAACUGCGAAUACCGGAGAAUGUUAUCACGGGAGACACACGGCGGGUGCUAACGUCCGUCGUGAAGAGGGAAACAACCCAGACCGCCAGCUAAGGUCCCAAAGUCAUGGUUAAGUGGGAAACGAUGUGGGAAGGCCCAGACAGCCAGGAUGUUGGCUUAGAAGCAGCCAUCAUUUAAAGAAAGCGUAAUAGCUCACUGGUCGAGUCGGCCUGCGCGGAAGAUGUAACGGGGCUAAACCAUGCACCGAAGCUGCGGCAGCGACGCUUAUGCGUUGUUGGGUAGGGGAGCGUUCUGUAAGCCUGUGAAGGUGUGCUGUGAGGCAUGCUGGAGGUAUCAGAAGUGCGAAUGCUGACAUAAGUAACGAUAAAGCGGGUGAAAAGCCCGCUCGCCGGAAGACCAAGGGUUCCUGUCCAACGUUAAUCGGGGCAGGGUGAGUCGACCCCUAAGGCGAGGCCGAAAGGCGUAGUCGAUGGGAAACAGGUUAAUAUUCCUGUACUUGGUGUUACUGCGAAGGGGGGACGGAGAAGGCUAUGUUGGCCGGGCGACGGUUGUCCCGGUUUAAGCGUGUAGGCUGGUUUUCCAGGCAAAUCCGGAAAAUCAAGGCUGAGGCGUGAUGACGAGGCACUACGGUGCUGAAGCAACAAAUGCCCUGCUUCCAGGAAAAGCCUCUAAGCAUCAGGUAACAUCAAAUCGUACCCCAAACCGACACAGGUGGUCAGGUAGAGAAUACCAAGGCGCUUGAGAGAACUCGGGUGAAGGAACUAGGCAAAAUGGUGCCGUAACUUCGGGAGAAGGCACGCUGAUAUGUAGGUGAAGCGACUUGCUCGUGGAGCUGAAAUCAGUCGAAGAUACCAGCUGGCUGCAACUGUUUAUUAAAAACACAGCACUGUGCAAACACGAAAGUGGACGUAUACGGUGUGACGCCUGCCCGGUGCCGGAAGGUUAAUUGAUGGGGUUAGCGCAAGCGAAGCUCUUGAUCGAAGCCCCGGUAAACGGCGGCCGUAACUAUAACGGUCCUAAGGUAGCGAAAUUCCUUGUCGGGUAAGUUCCGACCUGCACGAAUGGCGUAAUGAUGGCCAGGCUGUCUCCACCCGAGACUCAGUGAAAUUGAACUCGCUGUGAAGAUGCAGUGUACCCGCGGCAAGACGGAAAGACCCCGUGAACCUUUACUAUAGCUUGACACUGAACAUUGAGCCUUGAUGUGUAGGAUAGGUGGGAGGCUUUGAAGUGUGGACGCCAGUCUGCAUGGAGCCGACCUUGAAAUACCACCCUUUAAUGUUUGAUGUUCUAACGUUGACCCGUAAUCCGGGUUGCGGACAGUGUCUGGUGGGUAGUUUGACUGGGGCGGUCUCCUCCUAAAGAGUAACGGAGGAGCACGAAGGUUGGCUAAUCCUGGUCGGACAUCAGGAGGUUAGUGCAAUGGCAUAAGCCAGCUUGACUGCGAGCGUGACGGCGCGAGCAGGUGCGAAAGCAGGUCAUAGUGAUCCGGUGGUUCUGAAUGGAAGGGCCAUCGCUCAACGGAUAAAAGGUACUCCGGGGAUAACAGGCUGAUACCGCCCAAGAGUUCAUAUCGACGGCGGUGUUUGGCACCUCGAUGUCGGCUCAUCACAUCCUGGGGCUGAAGUAGGUCCCAAGGGUAUGGCUGUUCGCCAUUUAAAGUGGUACGCGAGCUGGGUUUAGAACGUCGUGAGACAGUUCGGUCCCUAUCUGCCGUGGGCGCUGGAGAACUGAGGGGGGCUGCUCCUAGUACGAGAGGACCGGAGUGGACGCAUCACUGGUGUUCGGGUUGUCAUGCCAAUGGCACUGCCCGGUAGCUAAAUGCGGAAGAGAUAAGUGCUGAAAGCAUCUAAGCACGAAACUUGCCCCGAGAUGAGUUCUCCCUGACCCUUUAAGGGUCCUGAAGGAACGUUGAAGACGACGACGUUGAUAGGCCGGGUGUGUAAGCGCAGCGAUGCGUUGAGCUAACCGGUACUAAUGAACCGUGAGGCUUAACCUU